This 644-nucleotide ribosomal RNA is filed under the name uncultured Actinomycetes bacterium. RNAcentral describes it as "bacterial SSU rRNA". It matches the Rfam family "Bacterial small subunit ribosomal RNA", at positions 232 to 885 of the family's 1533-position model. Lineage: Bacteria; Bacillati; Actinomycetota; Actinomycetes. The record is from RNAcentral.
CGCGGCCUAUCAGCUUGUUGGUGGGGUAACGGCUCACCAAGGCAUCGACGGGUAGCUGGUCUGAGAGGACGAUCAGCCACACUGGGACUGAGACACGGCCCAGACUCCUACGGGAGGCAGCAGUGGGGAAUAUUGCACAAUGGGCGCAAGCCUGAUGCAGCAACGCCGCGUGAGGGAUGACGGCCUUCGGGUUGUAAACCUCUUUUAGCAGGGAAGAAGCGAAAGUGACGGUACCUGCAGAAAAAGCACCGGCUAACUACGUGCCAGCAGCCGCGGUAAUACGUAGGGUGCAAGCGUUGUCCGGAAUUAUUGGGCGUAAAGAGCUCGUAGGCGGUUCAGUAAGUCGGGUGUGAAAACUCAAGGCUCAACCUUGAGACGCCACUCGAUACUGCUGUGACUUGAGUCCGGUAGAGGAGUGUGGAAUUCCUGGUGUAGCGGUGAAAUGCGCAGAUAUCAGGAGGAACACCAGCGGCGAAGGCGGCACUCUGGGCCGGUACUGACGCUGAGGAGCGAAAGCAUGGGGAGCAAACAGGAUUAGAUACCCUGGUAGUCCAUGCCGUAAACGUUGGGCACUAGGUAUGGGAUCAUACCAACGGAUUCCGUGCCGUAGCUAACGCAUUAAGUGCCCCGCCUGGGGAGUACGG